UCUCCGUAGGUGAACCUGCGGAGGGAUCAUCACAGAGUUCUCGCCCUCGCGGGUAGAUCUCCCACCCACCGUUAUCGUUACUGUGUUGCUUUGGCGGGCCGCCGGGCCCCGCUCGGCCGCCGGCUCCGGCUGGCGCGCGCCCGCCAGAGGCCCAGCAAACUCUGAAUGUUAGUGUCGUCUGAGUACUAUAUAAUAGUUAAAACUUUCAACAACGGAUCUCUUGGUUCUG
Molecule: unclassified non-coding RNA, 229 nt
Filed under: plant metagenome
Description: partial contains small subunit ribosomal RNA, internal transcribed spacer 1, and 5.8S ribosomal RNA
Source: RNAcentral